UACGUAGGUGGCAAGCGUUGUCCGGAUUUACUGGGCGUAAAGAGCGCGCAGGCGGUCGUGCAAGUCGCGUGUGAAAGCCCCCGGCUCAACUGGGGAGGGUCACGCGAUACUGCUCGACUUGAAGGCAGGAGAGGGAAGCGGAAUUCCCGGUGUAGUGGUGAAAUGCGUAGAUAUCGGGAGGAACACCAGUGGCGAAGGCGGCUUCCUGGCCUGUUCUUGACGCUGAGGCGCGAAAGCUAGGGGAGCAAACGGG
This 253-nucleotide ribosomal RNA is filed under the name uncultured bacterium. RNAcentral's name for it is "partial 16S ribosomal RNA". It matches the Rfam family "Bacterial small subunit ribosomal RNA", at positions 524 to 776 of the family's 1533-position model. The record is from RNAcentral.